AUGUUAAUAAAGUACAACAAGAAAGCUUUUGAAAAUUAUUGCUUGUAUGCUAUUGCAGCGCAAAGGGAGGGUUUGCAGGAGGUACUAGAAGAUAUUGCAAAAAAUACAGACAAUGAAUACUCUGGUGAGCAGGCUAGACGCAAAGAAAAAGAGAAAAUGGAUGAAGAAAGUGAUUCAUCUGGUAGCGACAGUGAUGGCGACUUCAUACACCCACACGAACGAGCUGCUAGAAGACUACAACGGGCUAAAAACAGAGGUGAACCAAUUCAGACGAACCCCCCGGUAGCAUUCGUAUAUCAGGUGCUCUGGAGAAUGUACCGAUCCCAGGUUGGUAUGAGCAUAAAUAAAUCUUUGAACUGUCCGAAAAACUAA
Molecule: ribosomal RNA, 372 nt
Filed under: Triticum aestivum (bread wheat)
Lineage: Eukaryota; Viridiplantae; Streptophyta; Magnoliopsida; Poales; Poaceae
Description: partial small subunit ribosomal RNA
Source: RNAcentral